UUUGUGUCUCGGCUUCUCUCAGAUCUAAUCGUGCCUUCGGAUGAAUUUGUGGUUCGUGGGCAAUGGUGAGAUGUGAAGCAAAAGCAAUGUGGUCCUCUCGCUAUCCAGCGCGGAAUUUGUUGAUGCGAUUGGACGUCGAGGAUCUACAUCU
Non-coding RNA from Oryza glumipatula, 151 nucleotides. NCBI's taxonomy places the organism in Eukaryota, Viridiplantae, Streptophyta, Magnoliopsida, Poales, Poaceae. The record is from Rfam.